GACGAACGCUGGCGGCGUGCUUAACACAUGCAAGUCGAACGGAAAGGCCUGCUUUCCCUUGUGGUUUGCGGGUACUCGAGUGGCGAACGGGUGAGUAACACGUGAGUGAUCUGCCCCCAACUUGGGUAUAAGCCUGGGAAACUGGGUCUAAUUCCCGAUAGGACUGCAGGGUGGUGCCUGUGGUGGAAAACGAUUUUCUAGUGGUUGGGGAUGAGCUCGCGGCCUAUCAGCUUGUUGGUGGGGUAAUGGCCUACCAAGGCGGCGACGGGUAGCCGGCCUGAGAGGGUGGACAGCCGCAUUGGGACUGAGAGACGGCCCAGACGCCUACGGGAGGCAGCAGUGGGGAAUAUUGCACAAUGGGCGGAAGCCUGAUGCAGCGACGCCGCGUGGGGGAUGACGGCCUUCGGGUUGUAAACUCCUUUCGACCGAGAGGAAGCCACCUGGUUGGAAGGGUGGUGACGGUAGUGGUAGAAGAAGCACCGGCUAACUACGUG
This 494-nucleotide ribosomal RNA is filed under the name uncultured bacterium. RNAcentral describes it as "partial 16S ribosomal RNA". It matches the Rfam family "Bacterial small subunit ribosomal RNA", at positions 28 to 507 of the family's 1533-position model. The record is from RNAcentral.